UCGUCAGCUCGUGUCGUGAGAAAUUGGGUUAAGUCCCGCAACGAGCGCAACCCUUGCUAUUAGUUGCUACGCAAGAGCACUCUAAUAGGGCAAAAAAAUGACAAAUCGGAGGAAGGUGGGGACGACGUCAAAUCAUCAUGCCCCUUAUGACCUGGGCUACACACGUACUACAAUGGACGAUAACAGAGGGAAGCAAAAUAGCGAUAUGGAGCGAACCCCUAAAAACGUUCUCAGUUCAGAUUGCAGGCUGCAACCCGCCUGCAUGAAGUCGGAAUUGCUAGUAAUCGCGGAUCAGCAUGCCGCGGUGAAUACGUUCCCGGGCCUUCUACACGGGAAAAAGUCACACCAUGGGAGCCGGUAAUACCCGAAGUCAGUAGUUCAACCGCAAGGAGAGCGCUGCCGCCCCCCCCUUUGGAGGUGGCGACUGGGGUGAAGUCGUAACAAGGUAGCCGUA
This 454-nucleotide ribosomal RNA is filed under the name uncultured bacterium. RNAcentral's name for it is "bacterial SSU rRNA". It matches the Rfam family "Bacterial small subunit ribosomal RNA", at positions 1052 to 1504 of the family's 1533-position model. The record is from RNAcentral.